This 648-nucleotide ribosomal RNA is filed under the name Streptococcus anginosus. Its description in RNAcentral is "bacterial SSU rRNA". It matches the Rfam family "Bacterial small subunit ribosomal RNA", at positions 371 to 1009 of the family's 1533-position model. Lineage: Bacteria; Bacillati; Bacillota; Bacilli; Lactobacillales; Streptococcaceae. The record is from RNAcentral.
AUGGGGGGAACCCUGACCGAGCAACGCCGCGUGAGUGAAGAAGGUUUUCGGAUCGUAAAGCUCUGUUGUUAAGGAAGAACGAGUGUGAGACUGGAAAGUUCAUACUGUGACGGUACUUAACCAGAAAGGGACGGCUAACUACGUGCCAGCAGCCGCGGUAAUACGUAGGUCCCGAGCGUUGUCCGGAUUUAUUGGGCGUAAAGCGAGCGCAGGCGGUUAGAAAAGUCUGAAGUGAAAGGCAGUGGCUCAACCAUUGUAGGCUUUGGAAACUGUUUAACUUGAGUGCAGAAGGGGAGAGUGGAAUUCCAUGUGUAGCGGUGAAAUGCGUAGAUAUAUGGAGGAACACCGGUGGCGAAAGCGGCUCUCUGGUCUGUAACUGACGCUGAGGCUCGAAAGCGUGGGGAGCGAACAGGAUUAGAUACCCUGGUAGUCCACGCCGUAAACGAUGAGUGCUAGGUGUUAGGUCCUUUCCGGGACUUAGUGCCGCAGCUAACGCAUUAAGCACUCCGCCUGGGGAGUACGACCGCAAGGUUGAAACUCAAAGGAAUUGACGGGGGCCCGCACAAGCGGUGGAGCAUGUGGUUUAAUUCGAAGCAACGCGAAGAACCUUACCAGGUCUUGACAUCCCGAUGCUAUUUCUAGAGACAG